This 497-nucleotide ribosomal RNA is filed under the name uncultured bacterium. RNAcentral describes it as "partial 16S ribosomal RNA". It matches the Rfam family "Bacterial small subunit ribosomal RNA", at positions 28 to 507 of the family's 1533-position model. The record is from RNAcentral.
GAUGGACGCUGGCGGCGUGCCUAAUACAUGCAAGUCGAGCGAACGGACGAGAAGCUUGCUUUUCUGAUGUUAGCGGCGGACGGGUGAGUAACACGUGGAUAACCUACCUAUAAGACUGGGAUAACUUCGGGAAACCGGAGCUAAUACCGGAUAAUAUUUUGAACCGCAUGGUUCAAAAGUGAAAGACGGUCUUGCUGUCACUUAUAGAUGGAUCCGCGCUGCAUUAGCCAGUUGGUAAGGUAACGGCUUACCAAGGCAACGAUGCAUAGCCGACCUGAGAGGGUGAUCGGCCACACUGGAACUGAGACACGGUCCAGACUCCUACGGGAGGCAGCAGUAGGGAAUCUUCCGCAAUGGGCGAAAGCCUGACGGAGCAACGCCGCGUGAGUGAUGAAGGUCUUCGGAUCGUAAAACUCUGUUAUUAGGGAAGAACAUAUGUGUAAGUAACUGUGCACAUCUUGACGGUACCUAAUCAGAAAGCCACGGCUAACUACGUG